Molecule: ribosomal RNA, 253 nt
Filed under: uncultured bacterium
Lineage: Bacteria
Description: partial 16S ribosomal RNA
Rfam family: Bacterial small subunit ribosomal RNA
Source: RNAcentral
UACAGAGGGUGCAAGCGUUAAUCGGAAUUACUGGGCGUAAAGCGCACGUAGGUGGCUGGGUAAGUUGGAUGUGAAAUCCCCGGGCUUAACUUGGGAAUUGCAUUCAAGACUGCCUUGCUAGAGUGUGGAAGAGGGAAGCGGAAUUCCAGGUGUAGCGGUGAAAUGCGUAGAUAUCUGGAGGAACAUCAGUGGCGAAGGCGGCUCACUGGCUCGUAACUGACGCUCAUGCACGACAGCGUGGGGAUCAAACAGG